GUUGAACGCUGGCGGCGUGCCUAAUACAUGCAAGUCGAGCGAACAGACGAGGAUCUUGCUUCUCUGACGUUACCGGCGGACGGGUGAUUAACACGAGGAUAACCUGCCUAUAAGACUAGGAUAACUUCGGGAAACCUGAUCUCAUACCGGACAAGAUAUUGAACCGGAGGGUUCAAUAGAGCAAGACGGAUUUGCUGUCCCUUAGUCAUGUUAGCGAGCCGGAUUAGCUAGUUGGUAAGGUAACGGCUUACCAAGGCUACGAUGCGUAGCCGACCUGAGAGGGUGAUCAGCCACACUGGAACUGAGACACGGUCCAGACUCCUACGGGAGGCAGCAGUGGGGAAUAUUGCGCAAUGGGCGAAAGCCUGACGGAGCAAUGCCGCGUGAGUGAUGAAGGUCUUCGGAUCGUAAAACUCUGUUAUUAGGGAAGAACAAAUGUGUAAGUAACUAUGCACGUCUUGACGGUACCUAAUCAGAAAGCCACGGCUAACUACGUG
Molecule: ribosomal RNA, 497 nt
Filed under: uncultured bacterium
Lineage: Bacteria
Description: partial 16S ribosomal RNA
Rfam family: Bacterial small subunit ribosomal RNA
Source: RNAcentral